AUUGAACGCUGGCGGCAUGCCUUACACAUGCAAGUCGAACGGCAGCACGGACUUCGGUCUGGUGGCGAGUGGCGAACGGGUGAGUAAUGUAUCGGAACGUACCUUUCAGUGGGGGAUAACGUAGCGAAAGUUACGCUAAUACCGCAUAUUCUGUGAGCAGGAAAGCAGGGGAUCGAAAGACCUUGCGCUGAUUGAGCGGCCGAUAUCAGAUUAGCUAGUUGGUGGGGUAAAGGCCUACCAAGGCGACGAUCUGUAGCGGGUCUGAGAGGUUGAUCCGCCACACUGAGAAUUAGGCACGGUGCAGACCCCCACGGGGGGCAGCAGGGGGGAUUUGUGAAGAAGGGUGGCAAUCCGGAAAGAGCAUGGGGGCGUGAGGAAAGAGGGUAUUCGAAUUGGAAAGCUGUUUCAGCAGGGAAGAAAACGAGCAAGCGAAUCCCCGGUGUCGAUGACCGUCGAGAAAUGAGAAACACCGGACAAGGAGGGG
RNAcentral lists this ribosomal RNA (484 nucleotides) under uncultured bacterium. RNAcentral describes it as "partial 16S ribosomal RNA". It matches the Rfam family "Bacterial small subunit ribosomal RNA", at positions 29 to 517 of the family's 1533-position model. The record is from RNAcentral.